GAAAGCCGGGGCGGACCGUUUGGGGUCCAACGAGCCCUGCAGCGUUGGGUGGGAUGCACCCAUCGCGUGUCCACUCCCCGGACGUCCGCCAAAUCGCACCCCAAACGGACGAAAGCGGACGUCCGGAUGGAUCUUGCGGUGGAGUUGGCCUAAGGUUUGUUUGAAGGUGCCACCAGAGUGCAUUGACUCUGUGGUUGCUUCGUAGAUCGCCGUGACAUGAAUAAAAACGUGACUAUUCCAACUCAUCAAAAGAAAACAAAAAGGUAAGCCAACUCUCAUCUCAUUGCCAAUACGGCCACACACCAUGUAGACAUGCUAUUUCCUUCCUCGUUUGUUCUCCUCGCUCUACCAAGACGGUCAAACCAUGAAACCACCCGAUGACCCAACAUCCGGCGAGCGGCAUGCGUGCACCGCACCGCACAGGAAGAGCACCAAGCAUGCACGUCGCCUCGCUUGCGUGCCGCCUGGGAACCGAACCGGAACGCAUCGUCUUUGUAUAUCCACCUCGUUGGCAGCGUUAUCCAGAUACAAUACCUCAUAUGUGUGACUGUGUGAGUGUGUCCAACGUGCAGAACGUAGGAGGGCAUGCAUGCCUUAUCCAGAUAUACUCUACUUAGGGGUAGAUAUCUGGUGAUACAAGACCUGAGGUGCUCCCGUGAUACAAGACUAGGUGGGCCGUUCGAUCUGGACUGGUGGUACAGGAUCGAGAGGGUCCCUUGGCAUUGCAAUGUAUGCAGAAAACACCUUGGGUUAUUCCCUAAUUCAGCGACGAAGUGCAUAUCCAUCUUCUCUGUUCGCUUCUUCCCUGAUACAAUUCGCACCGCCGCCGCCUAGGGCAUGUCUCCUGCCGCCGCCGCCGUCACUGCCUAGGGCAUUGCCCCCAUCCACUGUUGCUAGCACAAAUCCAGCGCAACUCGUGCGCGUGCCGAUUCCUUGGCUCAGACCCGGUCAGUUUCAUAGGAGCCGAGAUGGACCUUCCCCCGCCGUCGCUGGAGCCAAACGCGUCGUGGGAGCCGGAGACCCUCGGCAAGGACGAUCAGGACUAGAUGCCCGCGCGCUGCGGGAGUCAGUGUCGUUCGGUCGAUUCCUAUCCGAGUCACUCGAAUGGGAUACGAUGGGCCGAUGGGGCAUGUCUUGCCGGCACCGAUGGCUACCAUAUUGCAUGACCAAUCGCUGCCGGCAGCCGGGCUCAAUGAAGAUGUACAGGUCAAUUUCUCGGUGCCGACCACAACGGUCGGAGCUCACUCUGCCUCCAAUUGUAGUGAUGCAUGCAUUGGCGAUUCUGGAGCAGGCGUGAGUUGUAGUCCGUGCUUGCCUGCUGCACAUUCCUCAGCAAAUAUUGAAGGAGCUGCACUGCAUUUGGUUGUUCAUCCUCCAAUUUCAUAGUAUCGUGUAUUGCUCUCCACAAUGUAGUCCUUGAAGUCUGCUAUGAUGUUCCUAAAAUUAUGAACUGAAAGCAGCUGUUGCAACUGUAUGACAACAAACAAAAGAAGCGAAAAAGUUAUAGAAGUACAACUACAUCUAAUGUUAGUUGUGGUUAUGGAAAUUUCAUGUCUCGCCACACGCAAUACAAGCAGAUCGAUGUUUAAGUUAGUUCGGAGCAGAUAUAUGCAUCAAUAUUUUAAUCUUUGCAGAGAAUUAGAAGAAUGCGUGCUGUGUGGACAAAAGUUCUUGUUCAGUCACUCGGUUACAACAUAUUGCUAAACAUGAAAUCUAGCAGUGUUUAAAUGUUGUCUGUUUCUUCGUCUCUUAAUAUGUCUAGCUGAAUUAUACACAUAAUCUUUCUUAUAGAGUGUAAUAUAGAAUCUUUCUUACAUAUAGUAUAGUUGAAAAUCACAUGUACAGAAUAGCGCAAGUUCGGACCAAAAUGUAUUAUUAGUCGAGUAAGUGAUUAGACUAUUUCGAAGUAUUGUCUAUAGAUUGAGUGAUUCACUAAAUUCAUACCAGACGAGGCCCAAGAAUGUUUGACUAACAAAAAUCCCAGUUGAAUUCUAUAUCAGGCUGGGACAACUGAGUACUAGAAAUCUAUGCAGCUGUAAUAAACUAGCUUACUGACCAUUUAUGUUGAGCUGAGAUUUAACAAAUGUUAUGGGUAAAUACACUAUUACUCAAAGAGGAAGCAUGGUUCACACACGAUAACAAAUGUAAAAAGGAAAAAAAAGAGGUGAAUAUAACUCGAUUGCUUGUGAGCAUGUCAUGGUCUCGUAUUUCAACAAAAGGUUUUUUUACAUGGUAUUAUAGGUCAAGAAGCUUCCAAAUAGAUCAGGGGGAUAAGAAGGUGCACCAGUCUCGAAGGUUAUUUUGCAUUUCCCAUAUUUGGUGUCGUAUUGUUUUUUUGAAAGUUUUAAGGUCCUAGUUCUUGAUUUUAUCCUGUAGGUGUGCUUUUGUGCCUACCACGGGUUGGUGUAGGAAUAUGAACUCAUCAAGUGAUCUGUAGCAAUAUUGUUUCAUUCAGCUAUGUUAAUUUGUGAACUAUAUCAUCUUGUGAACUAUAUUAAGGUCAUGUUGAUUGCAAGACAAAGAUGCUAGUGGUUAAAACCGCUCAAUUUUCUUGAAGAAUGCAGGAUAAAACCAUUGCUUAUCUAGGUGACUCUUUAGGGAGGCAGAUGUUCCAAUAGAUGAUGUGCAUGCUUUCAACAUCCAAGAAACAUGGAAAACGACCAAAUGGCUGGGUCUACCGAUUCCGGAGCAGAAACAUCUUCAUCCUUUUGGUGUUCUUGCCGUGUAAUUAGGGGAAUCGUCUGUGUUAGCAGUUGACAAGAGUUGUAAUAUAUGCCUUUUAGGUUUAGGUGUAGCACCCUAUUUAGUUUAGCAAAUCUGAACUAUAACUGUUGUUACAUAUAUGUGCAAUUUCAUGGCAAGCGUUGCAUUGUGUUUUGUCAA
Long non-coding RNA from Aegilops tauschii subsp. strangulata, 2883 nucleotides. RefSeq lists it as uncharacterized. NCBI's taxonomy places the organism in Eukaryota, Viridiplantae, Streptophyta, Magnoliopsida, Poales, Poaceae. The record is from RefSeq and is a predicted model, not a curated record.